AACGAACGCUGGCGGCGCGCUUAACACAUGCAAGUCGAACGAGAAGGCGUAGCAAUACGCUUGUACAGUGGCGAACGGGUGAGUAAUACGUGGGCGACCUACCCUCGAGUGGGGAAUAACCCGCCGAAAGGCGGGCUAAUGCCGCGUACGCUUCCAUCUUUAUGGAGGUGGAAGGAAAGCCGUGCUGUGGGCACGGCGCUCAAGGAUGGGCUCACGUCCUACCAGCUUGUUGGAGGGUAACGGCCUACCAAGGCUCCGACGGGUAGCUGGUCUGAGAGGACGAUCAGCCACACUGGCACUGCGACACGGGCCAGACUCCUACGGGAGGCAGCAGUGGGGAAUAUUGCGCAAUGGGCGAAAGCCUGACGCAGCGACGCCGCGUGGGUGAUGAAGGCCUC
Molecule: ribosomal RNA, 398 nt
Filed under: uncultured bacterium
Lineage: Bacteria
Description: bacterial SSU rRNA
Rfam family: Bacterial small subunit ribosomal RNA
Source: RNAcentral